AUUGAACGCUGGCGGCAGGCCUAACACAUGCAAGUCGAGCGGAUGAAGGGAGCUUGCUUCUGGAUUCAGCGGCGGACGGGUGAGUAAUGCCCAGGAAUCUGCCUGGCAGUGGGGGAUAACGUCCGGAAACGGGCGCUAAUACUGCAUACGUCCUGAGGGAGAAAGUUGGGGAUCUUCGGACCUCACGCUCUCAGAUGAGUCUAGGCCGGAUUUGAUAGUUGGUGGGGUAAAGGCCUACCAAGGCGACGAUCCGCAACUGGUCUGAGAGGAUGAGCAGUCACACGGGAAGUGAGACACGGUCAAGAGUACUGAGGGAGGCAGCAGUGGGGAAUGUGGGGCAGUGGGCGAAAGCAUGACCCAGCGGGGCCGCGUGUGUGGAGAAGGUGUUCGGAUUGUAAAGCACUUUUAGGUGGGAGGAAGGGCAGUAAGUUGAUACGUUGCGGUUGUGACGUUACCAGCAGAAGAAGCACCGGCUAACUACGUG
RNAcentral lists this ribosomal RNA (484 nucleotides) under uncultured bacterium. Its description in RNAcentral is "partial 16S ribosomal RNA". It matches the Rfam family "Bacterial small subunit ribosomal RNA", at positions 29 to 507 of the family's 1533-position model. The record is from RNAcentral.